AUGGACGAUCUCGAGCGCAGGCUGCAGCUCGCGGUGGUGAUGUACGUGGGCGGGGCGAGGCCGCCGGUGUCAUGUGAGGAUGCAGCGGUGGCGGUUGCAGCUCAGUUGGGCAUUCCAAGAUUCCAGUUUUCUGUCCACAAAUUCCACCCGGAGGAUUUCCUGGUUGUCUUCGCGGCGCACCAGUUCAGGAACUUGGCGUUAGCUGUUCCGUCGAUUGAGCACCAGGGAAUCAAGCUGUUCAUCAAGCCCUGGCUUAGGCAGGUGCAGGCUACUUCUCGGUUGAUGAGAGUUCAGGUUGACGUGAUGAUUGAAGGUGUGCCAUCACAUGUGUGGUCGCAAAGCACGGCGGCAGAGAUCCUGGGCAGCGCAUGUCUGAUUGAGAGUCUGGCACCAGAGACGGCGAGCAGGGAGGAUCUGUCGCUCUUCAAGCUGAGAGCUUGGUGCGUAGACCCUGACGAGGUGCCGGUUUUUCGUAGACUCUGGGUGCCGGAGCCGGUGGGGACGACGCACGAUCCGGCGGCGCGGGCGCCUGCUUUUCGCCAGCUCCUGGAGUACCCCGCUUUGGUGCAUAUUGGGCGGCUGCGUGACUUCUCGCCGCCGGAGCUUUGGAGAGGUAGGUCGGAUUCUGACGAUGGGAGCGGUCAGAGUGGAUUUCCAGACAGUUCUCGUGGCUCGCAGUUCGGCGGUGAUUGGGUGGUUCAGCCUUGGUCGCGUGGUGUGAGGGACGCUAGAGGCUCUGGUCGCGAGCAGCCUGGUCCGGCGAACGGUGGCGCCGGUGGAAGGACGGGAAGAUCCUACCGGGCCGUUCUGGAAGGCAGGGUGGGGCCCUCCGAUUGGAGGCUUCCGCACAUGGGCGCAGGCCAGCGCUCAGGCUUGGUGGGCCAGGGGGAUAACUUUGCGACCACGACCGAGGAGAUCCCGAGGCAUUCAAAUUUGGCGAGGACCCAGUUGGGAUCACUAGCCACCAGGAGGGAGACAGCUGGCGAAUUGGCUGCAUCGGAUCCGUUGGCAAAGGGUGGUGAGGAGAUCGAGGCGCCAGACAGAUCGGCUUUUGCAGCGAAUCAGGUUCGGGCAGUGGUUCAGCAGCAGGGUACGUUGGUGCUGGGUUCUGAGGUGGCAAGGCAGGAGAAGGCCACCAAUCAGAAGGCGCCUGAGAGGGAGGUGCAGCAUGUGGACACGGCCGCAGUCGAGGAUGAUUUGGUGGUUCCCACGCGGACGGAACACGAGGUGGGACCGGGUGAUGUGCAACCAGCCAGCCUGGAUCCGGUGCUGCCGGACUCCCCGCGGGAUCCCCCACCGCUGGCGGUGGCACAGGAGAUGGAGCCGCAGAUUAUCCCUGCCCAUCAGAUAGUUGUGAUGGGACACGACCAGUCCAACGGCUGGGCCCCGGCCGCGGAUCUGUUGCAUGGCUCUGCGGGUGGACAGCCAAUGAGUGAGGUCGAGGUUGCCCCCACCUCGAUUCCUGGGGCCAUGCAUCCAGAUGUGGGGAGGGAUGGCUCUGUUGGCGACGUGACUACGUACGCUGCAUGCGAUGAUUUGGCGCUGAUUAGCUCGGAGCCUGCUGCCCGGAACAAUGUGCUGGAGUUGAAUGCUACGGAGGCACGUUUAUCCUACAAGGAGGAACUUGCGGUAAACAACAUCAAGAAUUUUUGUGCUGGUCUGCUCAAGAAAUUAGCCCCACCACCACUCAAGGAGUUUGAGGGACUCAGGGGAGUGAAACCUGGACAGGAUCCAUUCACACCUCGGCGUACCACCAGAUCGCUGGGGGUGGGAGGUCCGCGCAAGUCUAAAGCAUCGGCUGCGGAGACUGUUCUGUUGAAGACCCUGGGCUUUGAUUGCGAGGAUUUAGCGGUCUCUGAGGAUGCUCUCGGGCAACUGAGACAGGUGUUUGACUCGCCUCUGCAGGAGCAGCAACUUAGGGCAAUUGCGGCCAUUUUUGGCAAGGCUAUCCCUUUCAAUAUGGGAGGUGAAGUGGAGAGCGACGCGAUGGCAAUAGCAUAG
Molecule: ribosomal RNA, 2001 nt
Filed under: Triticum aestivum (bread wheat)
Lineage: Eukaryota; Viridiplantae; Streptophyta; Magnoliopsida; Poales; Poaceae
Description: partial small subunit ribosomal RNA
Source: RNAcentral